GAUGAACGCUGGCGGCGUGCUUAACACAUGCAAGUCGAACGAAGCACUUUAACCUGAUUCUUCUGAUGAAGGUUUUUGUGACUGAGUGGCGGACGGGUGAGUAACGCGUGGGUAACCUGCCUCAUACAGGGGGAUAACAGUUAGAAAUGACUGCUAAUACCGCAUAAGACCACAGAGCCGCAUUGCUCGGUGGGAAAAACUCCGGUGGUAUGAGAUGGACCCGCGUCUGAUUAGGUAGUUGGUGGGGUAACGGCCUACCAAGCCAACGAUCAGUAGCCGACCUGAGAGGGUGACCGGCCACAUUGGGACUGAGACCCGGCCCAAACUCCUACGGGAGGCAGCAGUGGGGAAUAUUGCACAAUGGGGGAAACCCUGAUGCAGCGACGCCGCGUGAGCGAAGAAGUAUUUCGGUAUGUAAAGCUCUAUCAGCAGGGAAGAAAAUGACGGUACCUGACUAAGAAGCACCGGCUAAAUACGUG
Molecule: ribosomal RNA, 479 nt
Filed under: uncultured bacterium
Lineage: Bacteria
Description: partial 16S ribosomal RNA
Rfam family: Bacterial small subunit ribosomal RNA
Source: RNAcentral